GAUGAACGCUGGCGGCGUGCCUAAUACAUGCAAGUCGAGCGAACAGAUAAGGAGCUUGCUCCUUUGACGUUAGCGGCGGACGGGUGAGUAACACGUGGGUAACCUAUCUAUAAGACUGGAAUAACUCCGGGAAACCGGGGCUAAUGCCGGAUAACAUGUUGAACCGCAUGGUUCUACAGUGAAAGGCGGCUUUGCUGUCACUUAUAGAUGGACCCGCGCCGUAUUAGCUAGUUGGUGAGGUAACGGCUCACCAAGGCAACGAUACGUAGCCGACCUGAGAGGGUGAUCGGCCACACUGGAACUGAGACACGGUCCAGACUCCUACGGGAGGCAGCAGUGGGGAAUCUUCCGCAAUGGGCGAAAGCCUGACGGAGCAACGCCGCGUGAGUGAUGAAGGUCUUCGGAUCGUAAAACUCUGUUAUUAGGGAAGAUCAAAUGCGUAAGUAACUGUGCGCGUCUUGACGGUACCUAAUCAGAAAGCCACGGCUAACUACGUG
This 497-nucleotide ribosomal RNA is filed under the name uncultured bacterium. Its description in RNAcentral is "partial 16S ribosomal RNA". It matches the Rfam family "Bacterial small subunit ribosomal RNA", at positions 28 to 507 of the family's 1533-position model. The record is from RNAcentral.